UGUAUUCAUAGAACAUGUAUCACAUUCAUUUUUGUGGCUAGAACUGAAGUAACGCAUUUAAUAUGAUUUUAUUUUUUUCAAACACACAAAACUAAAGCCACCCAUACAAAAACAAUAUGCCAUUCAUUGUUUUAAAAUGUACGAAUGAUUGUUUUUCAAAAUUAAAGCAAAAUAAAAUGCAUGUCCCCGAAAAAUUUCUCCAGAUGGCUUUUUAAAAAUUUAUCAUAACUUGUUAUGCUUUUAUCGCGCAUGCAACAAAGCCAUCAGUGUCGAUAACAUACAGGUUCAUUUAAGUUUCUUAAAUAACAUUGCCACGCGUUCAGGAAUCUGAUGUGCAGUAGAUGUCGUCUGUUUAUGUGGUUCAUACGUGUUUAUCGUUUUGUAUUUAGCUUAGACCGUUGUUUUUCCCGUUUGAAUGGUUUUACACUAGUAAUUUUUGGGGCCUUUAUAACUUGCUGUUUGGUGUGAGCCUAGGAUCCUUGUUGAAGACAGUACCUUGACCUAUAAUCGUUUACUUUUAUAAAUUGUGACUUAAAUGGAGAGGUGUCUCAUUGGCACUCAUACCACAUCUUCUAACAUCCAUUAAAUAUUGAAACUGUAGUUAAGUUUACUUUCUUGAAUGAUAAAAAAACCAUGAAAAUCACAGCUCAAUGUGAUACUCAUUGUUGUUUUUUUUUGUGAAUAUUUCUACAUUUUCCUGAGGAAGAAACCUUUAGUUAAAGUUUUUCAAAUAUCCAAAAUAAACGAAACCAUCAUCAUGCUCAUAAACGCGACAAAACUUUAAGAAAGCCUUUUUAUGAUUAAGGGAUAAAAUCUAAAGCAAAAUUUCUCAUUUCAAUAAUUUACCAAUAGAUUAUUUUUAUUGUUUUGUAGUUAACAAAUACAUAUAGUUUUGGUUGUUUAUAUAGAC
This 910-nucleotide long non-coding RNA is filed under the name Mytilus galloprovincialis (Mediterranean mussel). The record is from RNAcentral. Lineage: Eukaryota; Metazoa; Mollusca; Bivalvia; Mytilida; Mytilidae.